UCAGGACGAACGCUGGCGGCGUGCUUAACACAUGCAAGUCGAGCGAUGAAGCUUCUUCGGAAGUGGAUUAGCGGCGGACGGGUGAGGUAACACGUGGGUAACCUGCCUCAUAGAGGGGAAUAGCCUUCCGAAAGGAAGAUUAAUACCGCAUAAGAUUGUAAUAUCGCAUGAUAUAGCAAUUAAAGGAGUAAUCCGCUAUGAGAUGGACCCGCGUCGCAUUAGCUAGUUGGUGAGGUAACGGCUCACCAAGGCGACGAUGCGUAGCCGACCUGAGAGGGUGAUCGGCCACAUUGGGACUGAGACACGGCCCAGACUCCUACGGGAGGCAGCAGUGGGGAAUAUUGCACAAUGGGGGAAACCCUGAUGCAGCCAACGCCGCGUGAGUGAUGACGGUCUUCGGAUUGUAAAGCUCUGUCUUCAGGGACGAUAAUGACGGUACCUGAGGAGGAAGCCACGGCUAACUACGUGCCAGCCGCUGC
RNAcentral lists this ribosomal RNA (479 nucleotides) under uncultured bacterium. RNAcentral describes it as "bacterial SSU rRNA". It matches the Rfam family "Bacterial small subunit ribosomal RNA", at positions 24 to 518 of the family's 1533-position model. The record is from RNAcentral.